ACCCGAAACCAGGUGAUCUACCCUUGGUCAGGUUGAAGUUCAGGUAACACUGAAUGGAGGACCGAACCGACUUACGUUGAAAAGUGAGCGGAUGAACUGAGGGUAGCGGAGAAAUUCCAAUCGAACCUGGAGAUAGCUGGUUCUCUCCGAAAUAGCUUUAGGGCUAGCCUCAAGUGAUGAUUAUUGGAGGUAGAGCACUGUUUGGACGAGGGGCCCCUCUCGGGUUACCGAAUUCAGACAAACUCCGAAUGCCAAUUAAUUUAACUUGGGAGUCAGAACAUGGGUGAUAAGGUCCGUGUUCGAAAGGGAAACAGCCCAGACCACCAGCUAAGGU
Molecule: ribosomal RNA, 334 nt
Filed under: Staphylococcus aureus
Lineage: Bacteria; Bacillati; Bacillota; Bacilli; Caryophanales; Staphylococcaceae
Description: partial 23S ribosomal RNA
Rfam family: Bacterial large subunit ribosomal RNA
Source: RNAcentral